CUGGCGGCGUGCUAAUACAUGCAAGUCGAACGAACUCUGGUAUUGAUUGGUGCUUGCAUCAUGAUUUACAUUUGAGUGAGUGGCGAACUGGUGAGUAACACGUGGGAAACCUGCCCAGAAGCGGGGGAUAACACCUGGAAACAGAUGCUAAUACCGCAUAACAACUUGGACCGCAUGGUCCGAGCUUGAAAGAUGGCUUCGGCUAUCACUUUUGGAUGGUCCCGCGGCGUAUUAGCUAGAUGGUGGGGUAACGGCUCACCAUGGCAAUGAUACGUAGCCGACCUGAGAGGGUAAUCGGCCACAUUGGGACUGAGACACGGCCCAAACUCCUACGGGAGGCAGCAGUAGGGAAUCUUCCACAAUGGACGAAAGUCUGAUGGAGCAACGCCGCGUGAGUGAAGAAGGGUUUCGGCUCGUAAAACUCUGUUGUUAAAGAAGAACAUAUCUGAGAGUAACUGUUCAGGUAUUGACGGUAUUUAACCAGAAAGCCACGGCUAACUACGUGCCAGCAGCCGCGGUAAUACGUAGGUGGCAAGCGUUGUCCGGAUUUAUUGGGCGUAAAGCGAGCGCAGGCGGUUUUUUAAGUCUGAUGUGAAAGCCUUCGGCUCAACCGAAGAAGUGCAUCGGAAACUGGGAAACUUGAGUGCAGAAGAGGACAGUGGAACUCCAUGUGUAGCGGUGAAAUGCGUAGAUAUAUGGAAGAACACCAGUGGCGAAGGCGGCUGUCUGGUCUGUAACUGACGCUGAGGCUCGAAAGUAUGGGUAGCAAACAGGAUUAGAUACCCUGGUAGUCCAUACCGUAAACGAUGAAUGCUAAGUGUUGGAGGGUUUCCGCCCUUCAGUGCUGCAGCUAACGCAUUAAGCAUUCCGCCUGGGGAGUACGGCCGCAAGGCUGAAACUCAAAGGAAUUGACGGGGGCCCGCACAAGCGGUGGAGCAUGUGGUUUAAUUCGAAGCUACGCGAAGAACCUUACCAGGUCUUGACAUACUAUGCAAAUCUAAGAGAUUAGACGUUCCCUUCGGGGACAUGGAUACAGGUGGUGCAUGGUUGUCGUCAGCUCGUGUCGUGAGAUGUUGGGUUAAGUCCCGCAACGAGCGCAACCCUUAUUAUCAGUUGCCAGCAUUAAGUUGGGCACUCUGGUGAGACUGCCGGUGACAAACCGGAGGAAGGUGGGGAUGACGUCAAAUCAUCAUGCCCCUUAUGACCUGGGCUACACACGUGCUACAAUGGAUGGUACAACGAGUUGCGAACUCGCGAGAGUAAGCUAAUCUCUUAAAGCCAUUCUCAGUUCGGAUUGUAGGCUGCAACUCGCCUACAUGAAGUCGGAAUCGCUAGUAAUCGCGGAUCAGCAUGCCGCGGUGAAUACGUUCCCGGGCCUUGUACACACCGCCCGUCACACCAUGAGAGUUUGUAACACCCAAAGUCGGUGGGGUAACCUUUUAGGAACCAGCCGC
RNAcentral lists this ribosomal RNA (1454 nucleotides) under Lactiplantibacillus plantarum. Its description in RNAcentral is "Lactobacillus plantarum 16S ribosomal RNA". It matches the Rfam family "Bacterial small subunit ribosomal RNA". The record is from RNAcentral. Lineage: Bacteria; Bacillati; Bacillota; Bacilli; Lactobacillales; Lactobacillaceae.